GAAAGCUGAAUAGUAAUUUCAGAGAUCACACAAGGCUGAGGAGACUCAACUAGAUGGAAUACUCAUCAUGGAUAUCUUUCUAAAGUGUUUACUUUUAUGAAAUUCUUACAGUGCUACAAAUCAUAAGGAUUUGAUGUGUAAGUUACAUUUGUAAUUUUCAGAAAUUUCAUAUUAUGACCUUAGACAUUUAAUCUUUGGGUACCUGGACAAUUUCUAAAUUAAAAAAAAAAACAUAAAACAGUAUUCAUUAAUCUAACAUUAAUUUACUGUUAUCUUUUAAAUAACUAGAAAUUAUAAAAUAUUUAAAUGUUUUUUACAUAUUAUUUAUGAUUAUUAUUGCAACUCAAAAUCAUUAAAAUUACAAAAAGUAGUCAUUUUUUAUAAUAGCCAGUUAUUGAAUUUCUGUUCUCUAGUUUUCCCCUGUGCUUGGAGAGAACAGUUUAAUUAAAUAUAGUAAGUAUUAAAUAUGAUAAGUAUAAAUAGUAUAAGGAGUUAACUAUUCUAGUUCAAUAAUUCAAUAUUUAAUAUGUAUAAAAAUAUCAUAUUUGUUUCUAAAGUUAUUGUAGUUUAUGAAUAAGAUUGAUUCCAUAGGAUAUGUAUUAUUUAACAUUCUGACAAUUAUAUUUUAAAAUGUAGUCAAAACUUUAAAUUUAUUACCUAUUUAAAUAUUUAUGUGUAUAUUCAUGCCAAAAAAAGACAUAUUAAUAAAUUGUAUGCUGAAAGUUACUACAUGAGUAAUAUACAAAAGGAAUAAAAUCAAAAUAUAUUUUUUCUGUAAAUGAGUAUUUUGUGCCCAGAUUUGUAAAGUUUCCUCCUUAGACCAAAAAUAUUCUUUUAAUCUCUGUAUCCUUUUAUAUUCUUUAAUAAUUAAAUAUCAUUAUUUUUUACUUUAAAAAAGUUAAGUUCCUGAUAAUCACUUUUGUUUAUUGUAUAGUUUUGGCAAUGCUACUUUAAAAUAUUUCUUGUCUCUAGAUAUUUAUGAUUAAAUCUUGUCUACUUUGAUAAUAUUUUUAUGUGCCUUUUCCAAAUUUAGACCCUGAAUUCAGAAUAAUAAAUCUACUACUAUA
RNAcentral lists this long non-coding RNA (1067 nucleotides) under Homo sapiens (human). Its description in RNAcentral is "novel transcript". The record is from RNAcentral. Lineage: Eukaryota; Metazoa; Chordata; Mammalia; Primates; Hominidae.